UACGUAGGGUGCGAGCGUUGUCCGGAAUUAUUGGGCGUAAAGGGCUCGUAGGCGGUUUGUCGCGUCGGGAGUGAAAACCAGGUGCUUAACACCUGGCUUGCUUUCGAUACGGGCAGACUAGAGGUAUGCAGGGGAGAACGGAAUUCCUGGUGUAGCGGUGAAAUGCGUAGAUAUCGGGAGGAACACCAGUGGCGAAGGCGGCGACCUGGGCCAAUACUGACGCUGAGGUGCGAAAGCGUGGGGAGCAAACAGG
RNAcentral lists this ribosomal RNA (253 nucleotides) under uncultured bacterium. RNAcentral's name for it is "partial 16S ribosomal RNA". It matches the Rfam family "Bacterial small subunit ribosomal RNA", at positions 524 to 776 of the family's 1533-position model. The record is from RNAcentral.